This 254-nucleotide ribosomal RNA is filed under the name uncultured bacterium. Its description in RNAcentral is "partial 16S ribosomal RNA". It matches the Rfam family "Bacterial small subunit ribosomal RNA", at positions 524 to 776 of the family's 1533-position model. The record is from RNAcentral.
CACGUAGGGGGCGAGCGUUGUCCGGAUUUAUUGGGCGUAAAGAGCUCGUAGGCGGCUCAGUAAGUCGGGUGUGAAAACUCCAGGCUCAACCUGGAGACGCCACCCGAUACUGCUGUGGCUAGAGUCCGGUAGGGGAGCGUGGAAUUCCUGGUGUAGCGGUGAAAUGCGUAGAUAUCUGGAGGAACACCGGUGGCGAAGGCGGCAUCCUGGACCGGCAUUGACGCUGAGGCGCGAAAGCCAGGGGAGCAAACGGG